Molecule: ribosomal RNA, 492 nt
Filed under: uncultured bacterium
Lineage: Bacteria
Description: partial 16S ribosomal RNA
Rfam family: Bacterial small subunit ribosomal RNA
Source: RNAcentral
AGUGAACGCUGGCGGUAGGCCUAACACAUGCAAGUCGAACGGCAGCACAGUAAGAGCUUGCUCUUACGGGUGGCGAGUGGCGGACGGGUGAGGAAUACAUCGGAAUCUACUUUUUCGUGGGGGAUAACGUAGGGAAACUUACGCUAAUACCGCAUACGACCUACGGGUGAAAGCAGGGGAUCUUCGGACCUUGCGCGAUUGAAUGAGCCGAUGUCGGAUUAGCUAGUUGGCGGGGUAAAGGCCCACCAAGGCGACGAUCCGUAGCUGGUCUGAGAGGAUGAUCAGCCACACUGGAACUGAGACACGGUCCAGACUCCUACGAGAGGCAGCAGUGGGGAAUAUUGGACAAUGGGCGCAAGCCUGAUCCAGCCAUACCGCGUGGGUGAAGAAGGCCUUCGGGCUGUAAAGCCCUUUUGUUGGGAAAGAAAAGCAGCAGGUUAAUACCCCGCUGUUCUGACGGUACCCAAAGAAUAAGCACCGGCUAACUUCGUG